This 560-nucleotide ribosomal RNA is filed under the name Naganishia albida. RNAcentral describes it as "eukaryotic LSU rRNA". It matches the Rfam family "Eukaryotic large subunit ribosomal RNA", at positions 91 to 657 of the family's 3401-position model. The record is from RNAcentral. Lineage: Eukaryota; Fungi; Basidiomycota; Tremellomycetes; Filobasidiales; Filobasidiaceae.
GAGUGAGCGGGAAGAGCUCAAAUUUGAAAUCUGGUAGCCUUCGGUUGCCCGAGUUGUAAUCUAGAGAAGUGUUUUCCGUGCCGGCCCAUGUACAAGUCCCUUGGAACAGGGCGUCAUAGAGGGUGAGAAUCCCGUCCUUGACAUGGACCCCCGGUGCUUUGUGAUACACUUUCAACGAGUCGAGUUGUUUGGGAAUGCAGCUCAAAAUGGGUGGUGAAUUCCAUCUAAAGCUAAAUAUUGGCGAGAGACCGAUAGCGAACAAGUACCGUGAGGGAAAGAUGAAAAGCACUUUGGAAAGAGAGUUAAACAGUACGUGAAAUUGUUGAAAGGGAAACGAUUGAAGUCAGUCAUGCUCUUGGGACUUACCUCCCUUGAGUGGGGUCAACAUCAGUUUUGAUCGAUGGAUAAAGGCACGGGGAAGGUAGCACUCUCGGGUGAACUUAUAGCCUCGCGUCAUAUACAUUGAUUGGGACUGAGGAACGCAGCAUGCCUUAUGGCCGGGAUUCGUCCACGUACAUGCUUAGGAUGUUGACAUAAUGGCUUUAAACGACCCGUCUUGA